CGCCUGUUUAUCAAAAACAUAACCUUUAGUUAAACAAGUAUUAAAGGCAACGCCUGCCCAGUGAAGAAUUUAACGGCCGCGGUACCCUAACCGUGCAAAGGUAGCAUAAUCAUUUGUCUAUUAAUUGUAGACCAGUAUGAAAGGCAAAAUGAGAGCCCAACUGUCUCUUAUAAUAGAUCAAUUAAACUGAUCUCCUAGUACAAAAGCUAGAAUACCAACAUAAGACCAGAAGACCCUGUGAAGCUUUAACUAACCUAUUAAACCAAAUAAUAACUACUUUCGGUUGGGGCGACCUUGGAAUAAAAAAGAACUUCCAAUAUAUGACUUCCUCAUAAAACAGGCAAACAAGCCAAUACCAGACCCAGCACAGCUGAUAAUUGAAACAAGUUACUCCAGGGAUAACAGCGCUAUCUUCUUCAAGAGCCCAUAUCAAAAAGAAGGUUUACGACCUCGAUGUUGGAUCAGGACAUCCAAGUAAUGCAGCCGUUACUAAAGGUUCGUUUGUUCAACGAUUAACAGUCCUACGUGAUCUGAGUUCAGACCGG
RNAcentral lists this ribosomal RNA (545 nucleotides) under Crotalus durissus (tropical rattlesnake). RNAcentral describes it as "partial 16S ribosomal RNA". It matches the Rfam family "Bacterial large subunit ribosomal RNA", at positions 1797 to 2619 of the family's 2925-position model. Lineage: Eukaryota; Metazoa; Chordata; Lepidosauria; Squamata; Viperidae. The record is from RNAcentral.